CUCUGUAUUGAUAUGCUUAUGUUCAGUUCAUUUUCCAGGAAAGGUGUGCUUCUUACUGGGAUUUGCAAAUGUUAGGGAGAAGUUAUAAAAUGACGAAAGGCGAAUUUCACUUCGGUAGCGACAUCAAUAGUUGGCGCAGCAAAACUUCCAUCUGUGACAAGAGAGAGGAGCUACCUAGCUUCUCCAAGGGAGCUGUGGCUCAUUGGGCAGCUGCACAAACGAAGAUUGAAUAAAGGGAAAUGAAGAUGACAUUUAAUGUCGACUAAAUUCCCGUUCACAAUCAUGGGAGUGGUAAACUGUGGAUUCAUCUGUUGAGACAGAAACGUGGAGAUUAGUGAGGGAAGUCAUUGCCUGUGGAUGAAAUUGUUAAAUCUGUUGAGCUUGAUGUGAAGUUUCAGUUGAAUGUUUUGCCCUUCUUUUCCAGAUAAUAGAAACCAUUAGGGCAGGGCAGAGGGACUCGUCGUGCAAUUUGGGGCAUCAUGUAAUGUUUUUGGGGGGUCAAAGGGCUAUUUAAGCAAAACUGAUUGUUGAUUAAUCUUUUUUGUCGGGCCAUAAGAAUGAACAUUGCACUUCAUCUGCACGUGUGCUCUCUUCAUUGAUA
Long non-coding RNA from Rhodamnia argentea, 601 nucleotides. RefSeq lists it as uncharacterized. The transcript is spliced from 2 exons. Lineage: Eukaryota; Viridiplantae; Streptophyta; Magnoliopsida; Myrtales; Myrtaceae. The record is from RefSeq and is a predicted model, not a curated record.